Molecule: long non-coding RNA, 625 nt
Organism: Podarcis raffonei (Aeolian wall lizard)
Lineage: Eukaryota; Metazoa; Chordata; Lepidosauria; Squamata; Lacertidae
Exons: 2
Source: RefSeq, a predicted model, not a curated record
GUGGAUCCAGAAUUGGCCUCCACAGUCACUUACGGACUCAUUGUUAAAACUGUGUUUAUGGAAGACAACUUUACUUGGCUACGAGUGAUCGCCAAAGAAGCAGCUACUUGCAAGGCAGCCCCGAGUUCACCCACUCCUCAUGGGACUCAUAAUGUGACUUAGCAACAAAAGUUACAGAUGCUGAAGUAAUGGCUGUGCUCUAGAACCCUACAUAUGCACCUGACUGUGCUUGAUAAGGAGAUCAGUGAGCUUAUUGAAUGCUUCUACUAUUCAUGGAACAUCUUUGCUUAUUCAGGACUGUAUCAGUGACUGUCACCCAUCUUUAAAACAUCCUGCCACAACUUUAGCCGCCAGCACAAGUAUCACUGGUUUAGUUGCUACCAAGGUAGUUGAAAUCAGACUGAUACCUAUGAAAAUGGUAACAUCAACACAACAGGAAACGAUUGAGAGGUUGUACAAACCAACCACAGAAGCUUAAGUCAAAGUGAAAACGUGUAUUGGUAAUAGUUUCAGGGCUUGAUUACCCAGCAAUUUGUUCCAAGGAUAUUUGAGACUCUCAAAUGAGAGUUGGCCAAGGCAAAAUAUAAGAUUAUGAGCAAGAAGACAUCAAAUGCUCUAGCCUCAA